Long non-coding RNA from Salvia splendens (bonfire salvia), 474 nucleotides. RefSeq lists it as uncharacterized. The transcript has 2 exons. Lineage: Eukaryota; Viridiplantae; Streptophyta; Magnoliopsida; Lamiales; Lamiaceae. The record is from RefSeq and is a predicted model, not a curated record.
GACCUCUCUGUCUCGGCCGUGAAUUUAUGUGAACGAAAUGAGUUCUUGAUUGAGAUCAAUAAUUGGAAAUCAAAGGGAAAAGAAUGGGUAUUACCGUGACUUGUGGUGGUAGAAACUUGAAGACCAAGAGCUCAUCUCUUCUCUUUCUCUCUCGAAUUGAAGAUGGAAGAUGGAAGGUCACCUUGGAAGAUUGGGAGUCUCAGGAGUUGAGGAGUUGGCGUUAGGGAAGGGAGGAAAGAGCCAACCACCAUGAUUACGAGUUACUUGGUGGUUUAUUUUGCAGGUAAUUGCUGCAGAGUGGGGUGCAAACCGAUGGGGAAUCUGCCGUGAAGAAAAGAAAUAAGGAGUGGGCUCAAAAGAUAUCUCUUUUAAUUUAAAAGCCUAAAGCCAAAAUGUAAAAAAAACAUUGGACUUUAUUUAAUUGAGAAGCCCAAAUUUUACUUUUCACAUAUCUUUUUAUUAAUUAAAGUUCAC